Molecule: long non-coding RNA, 890 nt
Filed under: Sus scrofa (pig)
Lineage: Eukaryota; Metazoa; Chordata; Mammalia; Artiodactyla; Suidae
Description: lncRNA (ENSSSCG00005033039.1)
Source: RNAcentral
ACCCAGGGACACCCGCCCGGCCACGGCGGCCCGGGGGGGACACCCACACGAGGUGAGGCCAUUUCAGGUCCCCGGUUGACGCGGGGGCGGGAGGGAGAGAGACAUGGCACAGGCAAGGCAGGGCGGUCACCUGUUCGGGGCAGGGGGGAGGUACAGGCCGCAUUAGGCAAAAGAGCAGCGCUUGGCCCCCACCGCGGGGGCCAGCGCACCCCUCGCGCGAGGGCGGCUCUUGCCCACACGCUGUGGCAAGUAGCACCGGCAGCUACUGCCUUGCAGACUUCAGGAGGGGCGGCGGCUGGGGGGUCCAGGUACCCCAAGGCCCCCCCUCUCAGAUCGCUAGAGAAGGCUUUCUCACCGAGGGCGCGUCGUGCCCCCCACACCAUCGUUCGCCCCUUCGGGGACCCACGGGAGUGGGAACACUCCCAAAAAGUGGGAAGUCAGAAGGCAGCAGGGCGGGAGACCAGAGGUCAGGCUGGAGGCCGCACCCCUGCCUUCCCCCACACCACCCGCAGGUGGGGGAGGAGCAGCGAGGGGCCCGCGACAGAAUGAGAGGCGCGGCCCAGCUCACCAUGAGCGGCCGUCCCUCAUCUGGCGCGGCUUAAGCCCAAGCCCAGGAGAGCGCCACAUCACCACAUCGAUCAGUCCUGGCAGAGCCAGGGAAGAGCCCAGAAGAGGGGAGGAGACACCGCAGCACGGGCCAGCUGGAUGCACAAGUGAGAGCCGGCGCACAGGCCCAGGCGAGCGGCCCCCACGCGGGGUGCAAAGGGCAGGGUCAGGCCUUGGACAGCAGCCGAAAGCCCAAAGCCCCCCACGUGCAUCCAGAGGCCCAAGGUCUCCAGCGACAGGCGCUGAAGAGGAUCGUGUCAGCAUCUACCUGGUGACAGAAAAGG